Molecule: ribosomal RNA, 450 nt
Filed under: Bacillus sp. SA2M3A3
Lineage: Bacteria; Bacillati; Bacillota; Bacilli; Caryophanales; Bacillaceae
Description: bacterial SSU rRNA
Rfam family: Bacterial small subunit ribosomal RNA
Source: RNAcentral
UGCAAGUCGAACGAUGAAGCACCAGCUUGCUGGUGUGGAUUAGUGGCGAACGGGUGAGUAACACGUGAGUAACCUGCCCCCUACUCUGGGAUAAGCCUGGGAAACUGGGUCUAAUACUGGAUAUGACCAAUCACUGCAUGGUGUGUUGGUGGAAAGAUUUUUUGGUGGGGGAUGGACUCGCGGCCUAUCAGCUUGUUGGUGGGGUAAUGGCCUACCAAGGCGACGACGGGUAGCCGGCCUGAGAGGGCGACCGGCCACACUGGGACUGAGACACGGCCCAGACUCCUACGGGAGGCAGCAGUGGGGAAUAUUGCACAAUGGGCGAAAGCCUGAUGCAGCGACGCCGCGUGAGGGAUGACGGCCUUCGGGUUGUAAACCUCUUUCACCAGGGACGAAGCUAACGUGACGGUACCUGGAGAAGAAGCACCGGCUAACUACGUGCCAGCAGCG